AUGCACGGGCGAGCCGACUCUCACUCGGAACGUGCUCUCACCUUGGCCUGGGUUGUCGGCAGAACUCAUCCUGCAGCCUCCAGCCUGGCACUAAGCAGGGCCCGGCCUGAGGGCAACGCAUCCAGGCUCCGCGUGGGUCCCGGGAGAGUCUCAGCGUCCCAGGGUUCACGCCGGCUUUUAAAAAUAACUGACAAAAGAGAACACCUACCAGGAGACAAAGGCGUCCGUCUGCACACUCGGAGCAAGGCUUCCGUCAGCGAGAGAACCGAGGAUGAAGGUUCUCUCCUACCUGCGGCUGGGUUUCUGGUGGGGACACGACGCUACUGCGGGGCGGGUGGGACCGAGCCCGGGCUCUGCAGCCCCCUCUUCCUCCUCUGCACACCUGGGCCUUUCUCUGCCCCGAAGUCCCCAUGGAGAGGGACAGCGCAGAGACCGCGUUCUCCAGUCACCCACAUGCCUGCGUGAUCUGCAAGCGGGGUUCUCGGAACGUGCGGGAGGUCGGAGCAGGUGCCUUUUUGGGCUGGAAGCGUCUGUUAAGGCGCAACUGGAGGGUUAUCACAACGUGAGGUUUUUCCUAAACAGAACAGCUCUGGGCUUGAGCUUCUGGAUGGGGGACGGCCCUUUUCCUUGUCUUUAAGUGACCCCAGAAAAGGCAAGAGCCAAGUGCAGCCUGGGCCUCUGUGGGCCGCCUCCCAUCAGAGAGCAGCACUCCCUCCGCCCCUGCCUCUUCCUCAGAAGUCACCAUCUCUCAAUCGCGCCUCAGCUUCCCCAUUAAAACCUGGAGGCCUGGGGCGCCUGGGUGGCUCAGUGGUUUGGGUCGCUGCCUUUGGCUCCGGUCAUGAUCUCAGGGUCCUGGGAUCAAGCCCCGCAUCGGGCUCUCUGCUCAGCGGGGAGCCUGCUUCCUCCUCUCUCUCUGCCUGCCUCUCUGCCUACUUGUGAUCUCUGUCUGUCAAAUAAAUAAAUAAAAUCUUUAAAAAAAAACAAAAAAACAAACAAAAAAAGACCUAGAGGCCGUUUCCCAGAAGUUCCACGGAGCUGGUGACA
RNAcentral lists this long non-coding RNA (1044 nucleotides) under Mustela putorius furo (domestic ferret). Its description in RNAcentral is "lncRNA (ENSMPUG00000026598.1)". Lineage: Eukaryota; Metazoa; Chordata; Mammalia; Carnivora; Mustelidae. The record is from RNAcentral.